AAGCUCGUAGUUGAAUUUCGGGCCUGGCCGGGCGGUCGGCUUAACGGCGUGCACUGUCUGGCUGGGCCUUACCUCUUGGUGAGCUGGCGUGUCCUUUAUUGGAUGCGUCGGGGAACCAGGACUUUUACCUUGAGAAAAUUAGAGUGUUCAAAGCAGGCCUAUGCCCGAAUACAUUAGCAUGGAAUAAUAAAAUAGGACGUGCGGUUCUAUUUUGUUGGUUUCUAGAGUCGCCGUAAUGAUAAUAGGGAUAGUUGGG
Molecule: ribosomal RNA, 256 nt
Filed under: uncultured Basidiomycota
Lineage: Eukaryota; Fungi; Basidiomycota
Description: partial 18S ribosomal RNA
Rfam family: Eukaryotic small subunit ribosomal RNA
Source: RNAcentral